Molecule: unclassified non-coding RNA, 267 nt
Filed under: Hevea brasiliensis (rubber tree)
Lineage: Eukaryota; Viridiplantae; Streptophyta; Magnoliopsida; Malpighiales; Euphorbiaceae
Source: RNAcentral
AGGAAACACAGAAUCAGGUUCAUCCUUUGCGGACACCAUUACAGCUCUUUCUGCUGUUCCUGGAGGACCAUCAAGAAUUUUAAUCCGAGCUCUCGUUUCCUCAACUAUUUUCUUGAUAAACUCACCUUUGCGACCGAUUAUACUGCCAACCUUUUGGGCAGGAACCAACAUUCGGAAAACACUCUCUCCUGGCCAUCCAGGCCACUUCUUCUCACUUACAACAGUUAGAGGAUCCUCAUUAUGCACCUGUUUUGGCUCAGACUCUAA